Molecule: long non-coding RNA, 6169 nt
Organism: Falco peregrinus (peregrine falcon)
Lineage: Eukaryota; Metazoa; Chordata; Aves; Falconiformes; Falconidae
Exons: 2
Source: RefSeq, a predicted model, not a curated record
UCUCCAGGAGAAGACGGACCAGCUGGAAAAAGGGAUGCCCCCGACGGGGUGUCUGGGGAAGAGGCUUGAAGAAAAGCCAAAGCAAACAGUGGGUGCAGAUGCUGGGGAGGAGAAUGCAGCUUGACAGGAGAGGAGGUGGGAAACAAUGAGCUGUCCAGAGCACGAGCCGCUUCUGGGAGCAGAGACCAUCUGCUCUUCACCAGCCUGAAUGGUGCCGAGCCGCAUCCCACAUUCCUUUGUUCCCCAGUUUAAAGGGAAUUGCAGGCUGCCAGUGCUGAAAGCCAAACACAGACCCUCAGAGUUCAGCCACAUCUUACCUUUUGUCUGAAUUUCCUCCGUCUCCUUCUCCUGAAGCAUCUUCUCUUGCAGCCAUUAGCUUGUAGCACAUUUUUACACCUCAGAGUCCCGAGUAGGUGGAUGAAAAGCCCAGGAGGAUGUUGCACUUAGCAGAAAUUAAACAAACUGUGCACGCAAGGUGGGAUAGUUGGGAAAGUCUCUGUGUGGCUUUAGCCAGAUAGCUAGGGAAUUCAGAGAGGAUAAAGUGACCCUAGAAGUAUAUGCAGCACGUAAAAGUGGCAGAGGCGAAUAAAUAAAAACUACUUUCAACUCAGUAACCUAAUAAUAAGUCUUAGAGUCGUAAAUCUGGCUAGAUAAUAAUGAUGGGUUGAGCCCGCUCUGCCAGGAGGGGCGAGGGUGCUGUGAGUGGCUGUUAACCUAAAGCAGGGGGACAGAGAUGGAGUGGAGAGCUGUGACAUGUGAGAGCCAGAUAGAGUUUUUAAAUAUUAUUUUUUUUAAUGUAGGGUUAAUGCACGGAUGAACUAAAGCAGCUUCAUACCUCUGGAAAUCAUUUACUUGGCAGCUGGGGGGAAAGGUAUUUUUCUAUGGCAUGUCUUCCAUUGCAUGGCCCUCCUGGGCAGUCGUGCUCUUGGAAAUGGUUUUGUCUCUUGUAAAAAAGCCUGACAUUUUACCAAACACAUUUUGUGUGAUCACUUUUUUGUAGUGUUGCUGGACACAGAUGUCCACACUCGACACAUGCCUUGUACAGAGGAAGCUGCCAUCAGAGGGGGCCCCCCUCUGUCACACAUUAGGGGUGGCACGACAGAGGCAGAGCUAAGUGUUGUGGCUGCUUUUUCCUUGGCUGCUGGUGUGGCUUUUAGUGCUGCAAAAACACUGGUUGUUCUUUUACUGUUUGCAUUUCCUCCUAUCUGUACUCCAUGCAUAUACGUUACGUAUAGAAUAGAUUCUCUGUUUACUUCAGUGAAGUAAUGGACCAAAAUGCAUCCUUUGGGCAUCUUGUGAGCACUCGGUUCAGUUGUCAGUCCCAGGCCUUUUGUGCUUUGCUAGAUUUGCAGUGCUGGCUCUGGGUGCUUCCCGCACCAGAAGGUGUACGUACACCGGGUACACUGGGGGUAUGUACAUCCCCAGCCUGACGCCGUGCCAUAGGCUCCGCACUCAGCGCCCUGCGGCUGCACAGCUCUGCUGGGGGAAGCGGGAUGAUUAAACACCUUUCAGGGUCACACCCACCACCUUUAGUCUCCACGGUGGUAAGAUUUGCAGGUCACUCACCAGGCGCUGUUUGAAUGCCCAGUGGCUUCAUCCCAAAGACAGGAGCAAUAAAGGAAAUUCAGGCUUUUCUAAACUCUGCCCAGCCGCCGGUACCCAAGCCCUUGCAUUGGGAUGGGUAAAACACCGCAUCCGAGAGCAUUUUAAAGGACUUCAUCAAGGUUCGUCUAAAAUCGAGGCACUUUUAAGCUGCAUUAAAUAAACGCCAGCCAGCUGGGCUCUGUCUGGGGAGUGCUCCUGCUCCUUCCCAGGCAGGCAGCAGUGGGGGCAGGACCCCGACGAGCCCGGAGCUGGAGCCGCCAGCCCCACGCAGGGACGCCGGUGGGUUGCUGUUGGCUGGGUGUAGAUGCAGGUGCAACCUCUGGCCCCAUGGAUGUCCGUCCCUGCACGUCACCUGCCCUUGCUGCCUGGCUCACAUAGGAGUUUAAGUUUGGGUUGUGUGGGUUUUUUGCCUUGUGGCACUGCUCUGUGCUUUGAACUUUGUUUCUUGCUGGUUUUCCCCGACUCCUUCAUUCUGCUGUUGUUUUGUGUUGGGUUUUUUUUUUCAGCAAAAUGAGUUGCAGGCUCGUUCAACAGCGCUAUUAAGGGUUCAGCCGUAACCAGCUCAUUGCUCAGGAUUACCCUGGCUGCAAUCCCGUGCCUGCACAUGCUCCUGUGCGGGGGCUUUCUGCGGGAGCAUGGCUGCAGCGGGGGUCCCGGCUCCCCCACAGGGGCUGAGCACCGGGGGGGGUCCGAGGGCUUCCCACAGGCAGGCUCCUUGCUGCCAGACCAGACCUGCCCGUGAGCAAUCCGGGGUAGGGAUGGUCUUUAUCACUUACCCACCACUAUGUGUGUGGGUUUUUUUGUCGAGGUGGUGUAUUAAACCUUUAUUAUAUUUAUGUAACUCCUGGGGUAAUAUGAUCUGAAUUUAAUUACUGGAGCCAGUUUUCUUUCUGAAUGCAUCUGAAGAGCUUGUCAAAAGCCUGUGGUUAAGUCUUUUGCGCUCAUGUUUAACGCGAUACAAAUGUGGAUGGCUUGGUGUAAACACGUGCACCAGGGCUCUUGGACACUGAGGGCGAAGGCGGCCGUGAGCCCCGUGUCGCUUUGCGGGGGCUUUGCCUCUGCACGGCAGCUCUGUCGGCAAAGCCCUGCAUCGAAUGUGGGCGCCCCGUGAUUUUUGGCUAUGGAUGCAAUACUGCACCGUGUCCCAGCCAGGUUUGGUAGGAGACCACCUGGAAACACCCGGUACAGAGCAUGCAAGGCAAGGAGAAGCCCAGAUAUUCAGGGCUGGAAGCUGGUGCCUCUCCGGCAGCCAGGGAGAGGAAGGAGGAGGAGGAAUCCACUGCAAAAAUGUUCUCAAACAUGGUUGAAUGGGGGUGAGCAGCUCCAAAAGUGAGAUUCUGAGAAAAGCGGUGCUAAAUAAUGACAGGUAGCAGCCUCUGUCUGAAGGGAUAUUUUUACUGGGCCGGCAGCAGGAAGCAUAAUUUUCUUUAAAUGACAUGUAUAUCUAGACCAUGCUGUAAUACAAAGCCAGCCAGGGCGGCGCUUUUCUAAAGUGGGAAAUUACAUUUCGUAAUGCGUACAGCACAUUCAGUGGGCAGGGAAUGCAGCUGGGGGUCAGCAAGUGUUUGCCGGCCGCUGGAUCCAGGGAUGCUGCCGCACACCAGGGCAGCGCAGAUGAAAAAUAUCUGUUUUCUGCCAUGUCCCCAUCAGCAAUGGGGCACGUUUCCCCCUCCGAACUCUGUAGAUUUAAAAUAGGCAUUUGGGUUCUUUUUUUCUACAAACAUGAGGUAUCAUUCGUGGCCAGAAUGAACAUAUAUUUGUACUGAUGUGGCUGUAAUUAUAGUAUUCUAUAUACGUUGUGUACAAUAGAUGUAUUAUCCUUGUACCCCUGGCACUGCUGUUGUUAAGAGGCUAUUGAUGCUUCAGUUACAAAACUUGUUUUUUCCAGAGGUUUCUAAGUUUCCAUAAAAGUCUAUUCUGGGCUGAAACUCUGUGCCAAGUCUUAGGCCAAGAUUGAAAAUUCUUUUCUGAAAUUUUAUUUUGAGCCAGUUUGAGUGUUGUUACAGAAGGUGCAUAAGGGCACAGAGUAAAUUUUUUGUCUUGCGUACUAUGAGCAACUCUGACUUCUAAAGAAUUUGUUUUGCAUAACCAUUCUGGAGAUGCAAAAUGCUGCCAUCCCCAGCAGGGAUUUAACCCCUGUUCUUUAUACACGAGUAUAAAGUGCCGUUGGUAUUGGCCUGUACUUGGUAUUUGUGCCCUGCUUCUGAGUGUCAGGGAGGUUUUUGGUGGCAAAGAGCUCCUGGCUUUGGCACCAGCGGAGCACCCUCCUCAGCUGGGUGCAGCUGCAGGCUUUGGGCAGCAAGUGCUGAAGGAAGUUGGGUUUUGCACGGUUUAUUUUAGUCUCCUUCUAGCCCACAGAAAGAGGCAGGUCUCUAAAUUAGGUGGUCUGAAUUACUUUUGAAGGGCUUCCCUGGCAGAGAAUCCAGGCUCUAGCAUUAGAUGAUGCAAAUACAUCACCCUUGUGCUUAUAUACAGGUUUAUCGAUGCAAACACAUCAUUUCUAUCUCUAGUAACGAUCCCUGGAAGAAAGGAAAGAGCAGUUCUUCAAUGCAGACAGACCCUCAGCGGAGAGGAGGCAGGCUGCUGGCACGAGGCUGAAAACCUGCUGUCAGCGCUGGGCUUCAAGGGAAUCACAACCUGGGAGGACUUGCAGGCACUGGUUUGGAUGCAGGAGGACCGGGGUGUUGGGGGAGAGCAUCUAUGCCCUCUGAGUGCAUGAUGAGGAUAUCUAUGAUUUACAAGUCUAAAUGCUGUUUCUUUUUUUUUAUUUCUGCUUUCUGGAAAGCAAAAGAGCUCUUAGAUGCCAAAGGAAGAGUGUGCCAAGGACUCCCAGCGUCAGUCGCCCCUUGGUGGUGGUCACUCGGUCCGCCUGUGACAGCGAUGAGCCCGAGGUCAGGAGAGCACCUGCAGCACAGAAACAGCAUGGCCAGUGCCCGAGCCAGCUGUUUGCGUGAGAAAAAUGCAUAUAAACAGUAACAAGGAGUGGGCCAGGAGCAGGACUCAAGUCAGUUAAUAAGGAGAUGCUAAGUCCAAAGGAAAAUGUAAAAUAAUUUCUGUAUUUGAAUCUGAGCAAUUUAUGUGGUGAGCCUCUGGUUCUCAGAGGGCUCUGCAAAGCUCUGAUAAAAAGAGAAACAGUGAAAGCGCAGCUGCUUACCUGAAGCUUCUGCAUCGCUGGACAAAAUCAUUCCAACAUUCCUGGGCUUUUUGCAAACUCUCUGCAGAAUGGCAAGAGCAAUCGGAGCAGGCGCGUUCUUUCCAGCUGAGACACAAAAGCCGCAGGGGACAGAAGGGCCACAUCCACCUAACUGAAAUCUGAGAAUAAUGUUCCAGCUCUGGCCAUCGAUUUGUUGUCUCGCUACUGAACUUGUGCUCCCCUCUCAACACAGCACAAGAAAGGACGGGCAGAACCUUCCAUCCUUUGUAUGUUGAUGGCAAGGAACAGGCUGCUGUGCUGCAGGCAUCUCCUACCCGCUGUGCUCCAUGGCCAGGCGUCGCGGGGUUCGCCGUCCUUUCACCAGCAGGAUGAGCAGGGAUGCUACCGGAGAAUUUGGAAAUGUCCUUGGCACUUUUAAUGCUUACUUUUUUUUCUUUUUACUUUUUUAAUGCUUACUGUUUUUUCUUUUUACUUUUGAAAGGCUGAGUCACUACCUACUCAACAAAAGGAAAUUGAGUUGAUCACGUUUCCUUUCUGAAACACGAUGGAUUAGUGCAUUACAACUGCAGCGCAAUGAACUGCGUUUCCAUAAUAUCCUGUUGACAGAACUCCUUAGGUGAGCACCUGUGCACAACUUUCUUUUUUCAAAGAAAUACUUCUGUCAGGAGAUCCUUUAAAAAGAAAGUGGAAGGAACGGCCAUCCACAUCAGGCAGGGAAGAAGUGCCAUUCCACAUGUGCCGCUGUGGUUUCAGAGCUCAUGAUGCGACACGGAGUCCAUCAGCCCAAAGUGAUGAGAACUGGAAAAAAAUCCCACUGCUUCAGCAUGAGCUGUCAGUCAUUUAGGUACAGAAAACAAACUGGAGGCUUACUGGCAUAAGCACCAGCAAAAUGGGGAGUUCAGAUGUUUGAAUUCCUUAAAGUGUUGAAUUCUAUAUUCCAAACUCAAGCGCUGCUUGCUUGCCUAUGCAGAGCAGAAACAGGGUGCUAAGGAGAGCUGGGGACCGGGCAGUCCUGGCGCUGGGUCGCCUCCGUAGGUGCUGCGUACCUGGAAAGCGAGGGCAGCCCCCACGCCCCCGGCACAGGGAGGUGGUGGGGUGCUGCCCUGCAGCUCAAGGACAAAUUUUGCCAUGGUCUGGAUGUCCUCAGCCCGUAUCGCCAGCAGCCGCUUGGGGUUGGACUGGGACCAGCGCAUCACCCCCCUGAUCUCCGUGCACAUUUUUUAAGUAUAAACAGAGACCACCACAAACAUCAAAGUGCCCAGAAUUCGGCUUCUGUUCCAUUUAAUGCUGGAUGGAUCAAGCCAAGAAGUGUUGGGUGGGUUGGGUUGGUUUUUUUGGAAGCUCAAGUUAUGCCAUUUUAUUUACUCAGUCUUCAUUAGGCUAAACUAAAGGGCAUUAUUUAAUUCAGUA